GCUUGAAGCAGUGAUGAUAACUUUUAAUCCCAGCUCAUUAUGAGACCUUCCAUCUAAUGGAAGAUCAAGGAAUGGACACAAAAACAUUAUCUGAGCUGAAU
This is a small nucleolar RNA of Elaeis guineensis (African oil palm), 101 nucleotides long. The record is from RefSeq and is a predicted model, not a curated record. Lineage: Eukaryota; Viridiplantae; Streptophyta; Magnoliopsida; Arecales; Arecaceae.